GUGUGUGUUAGUGGAAGCGUCUGGAAAGGCGCGCGAUACAGGGUGACAGCCCCGUACACAAAAAUGCACAUAUUGUGAGCUCGAUGAGUAGGGCGGGACACGUGGUAUCCUGUCUGAAUAUGGGGGGACCAUCCUCCAAGGCUAAAUACUCCUGACUGACCGAUAGUGAACCAGUACCGUGAGGGAAAGGCGAAAAGAACCCCGGCGAGGGGAGUGAAAAAGAACCUGAAACCGUGUACGUACAAGCAGUGGGAGCCUCUUAAUGGGGUGACUGCGUACCUUUUGUAUAAUGGGUCAGCGACUUAUAUUCUGUAGCAAGGUUAACCGAAUAGGGGAGCCGAAGGGAAACCGAGUCUUAACUGGGCGUUAAGUUGCAGGGUAUAGACCCGAAACCCGGUGAUCUAGCCAUGGGCAGGUUGAAGGUUGGGUAACACUAACUGGAGGACCGAACCGACUAAUGUUGAAAAAUUAGCGGAUGACUUGUGGCUGGGGGUGAAAGGCCAAUCAAACCGGGAGAUAGCUGGUUCUCCCCGAAAGCUAUUUAGGUAGCGCCUCGUGAAUUCAUCUCCGGGGGUAGAGCACUGUUUCGGCAAGGGGGUCAUCCCGACUUACCAACCCGAUGCAAACUGCGAAUACCGGAGAAUGUUAUCACGGGAGACACACGGCGGGUGCUAACGUCCGUCGUGAAGAGGGAAACAACCCAGACCGCCAGCUAAGGUCCCAAAGUCAUGGUUA
This 735-nucleotide ribosomal RNA is filed under the name Escherichia coli. Its description in RNAcentral is "partial 23S ribosomal RNA". It matches the Rfam family "Bacterial large subunit ribosomal RNA", at positions 322 to 1061 of the family's 2925-position model. Lineage: Bacteria; Pseudomonadati; Pseudomonadota; Gammaproteobacteria; Enterobacterales; Enterobacteriaceae. The record is from RNAcentral.